GACGAACGCUGGCGGCGUGCUUAACACAUGCAAGUCGAGCGGUAAGGCCCUUCGGGUACGACGAGCGGCGAACGGGUGAGUAACACGUGGGUGACCUGCCCUUACGCUCUGGGAUAAGCCUGGGAAACGUGGGUCGUAAUACCGGAUAUGACCUCAUGACGCAUGUUGUGGGGUGGAAAGCCUUGUGCGGCUAGGGAUGGGCCCGCGGCCUAUCAGCUUGUUGGUGGGGUGAUGGCCACCAAGGCGACGACGGGUAGCCGGCCUGAGAGGGC
RNAcentral lists this ribosomal RNA (272 nucleotides) under uncultured bacterium. RNAcentral's name for it is "partial 16S ribosomal RNA". It matches the Rfam family "Bacterial small subunit ribosomal RNA", at positions 28 to 301 of the family's 1533-position model. The record is from RNAcentral.